RNA transcript from Lagopus muta (rock ptarmigan), 8328 nucleotides. It is a transcript of the gene named phosphatidylinositol-4-phosphate 5-kinase type 1 gamma, with no coding region annotated. Lineage: Eukaryota; Metazoa; Chordata; Aves; Galliformes; Phasianidae. The record is from RefSeq and is a predicted model, not a curated record. The transcript has 18 exons.
CUCUAUGGUCCCCGCCGUUCCCAGGCUGCUCAGCGGCGGCGGCCGGAGCCGGGAGGAGCUCGGCGGCGGCGGCGGCCUGCCGUGCCCUGCCCGCGCCCUUGGCGGCGGCCGCCAUGGAGCUGGAGGUGCCCGAGGAGGCGGAGGGCUCGGCCGUGGCGGGGGCCGGCGCCAUCACCCCGGAGGCCGGCGCAGGGGAACCGGACGCGGCGGGAGGUCUGGCACCGAAGAAAGCAGCCAUCACCGAGGGCCCAUCGCUACCAGGGCAGCCUGGCCAAGGAAAGAAGAUUGGUCAUCGGAGUGUUGAUGCUUCUGGAGAAACCACCUACAAAAAGACCACUUCCUCCACCCUGAAGGGCGCCAUCCAGCUGGGCAUCGGGUACACAGUCGGCAACCUGAGCUCCAAGCCAGAGAGAGAUGUCCUGAUGCAGGACUUCUACGUGGUGGAGAGCAUUUUCUUCCCAAGUGAAGGAAGCAAUCUCACCCCAGCUCACCAUUAUGCUGACUUCAGGUUCAAAACCUAUGCACCAGUGGCUUUUCGGUACUUCCGAGAGCUCUUUGGGAUUCGUCCAGAUGAUUAUUUGUACUCAUUAUGUAACGAGCCCCUGAUAGAGCUUUCCAACCCUGGUGCCAGCGGCUCCCUCUUCUAUGUCACCAGCGACGAUGAAUUCAUCAUAAAAACUGUGAUGCACAAAGAAGCUGAAUUCCUCCAGAAGCUCCUUCCAGGCUACUACAUGAACCUGAACCAGAACCCGCGGACGCUGCUGCCAAAGUUUUAUGGACUGUACUGUGUGCAAUCGGGGGGCAAAAACAUCCGCGUGGUGGUGAUGAACAACAUUCUGCCUCGCGUGGUGAAGAUGCACCUGAAGUUUGACCUGAAAGGCUCAACCUAUAAACGCCGGGCAUCCAAGAAGGAGAAAGAGAAGUCCAGCCCCACGUACAAAGACCUGGACUUCAUUCAGGACAUGCCUGAGGGCCUGAUGUUGGAUGCAGACACCUUCAGUGCGUUGGUGAAGACGUUGCAGCGAGACUGUCUGGUGUUGGAAAGCUUUAAAAUCAUGGACUACAGCCUGCUGCUUGGUGUCCAUAACAUAGACCAGCAAGAACGGGAGCGGCAGUCGGAGGGAGCGCACAGCACGUCGGAUGAGAAGCGUCCCGUGGGGCAAAAGGCACUUUACUCCACAGCCAUGGAGUCCAUCCAGGGUGGGGCUGCCCGGGGGGAGUCCAUAGACACAGAUGACACGAUGGGAGGAAUCCCAGCAGUGAAUGGCAAAGGAGAGCGUCUCCUGCUCCACGUAGGAAUCAUAGAUAUCCUUCAGUCGUACAGGUUCAUCAAGAAGCUGGAACACACCUGGAAGGCCCUUGUCCAUGACGGGGACACGGUGUCAGUACACAGACCCAGCUUCUAUGCAGAGAGAUUCUUCAAAUUCAUGACCAACACGGUGUUCCGAAAGAACUCCUCUCUGAAGUCGUCUCCCUCAAAGAAAGGGCGCAGUGCCUUGCUGGCUGUCAAGACUUCUGGUCCAACAGCUGCGUUCUCAGCUAGCCAGCUCCCCUCUGAGAAGGACGAAACGCAGUACGACCUCCGUGCAGCCAGGAGCUAUCCCACCCUUGAUGACGAAGGCAGACCAGACCUGCUCCCCUGCACGCCUCCUUCCUUUGAGGAAGCCACCACGGCCUCCAUAGCCACAACGCUCUCUUCAACAUCUCUCUCUGUUCCUGAGAGAUCUCCUUCAGAGACAUCGGAGCAGCCCCGGUACAGGAGACGCACGCACUCCUCAGGGCAGGAUGGCAGGUCGCACGAGGAGGUGCGAGUUGAAGAGGAGCUUCAGCAGAUCAGUGUAGAGCUGGAGCCGAAAUGUGAUGUUGAGAUUGUAGCUCCCGAAGAAGAUGACAAGGAAGAAGCAGCUUCUUCAGCCUGUGCCAUUGUAAUGUCCACAGCCACAAUAGAGGUGGAGACGGCCAGCCAGGCCUCCGAACCAGCCAGCCAGGCCUCGGAUGAAGAUGACGUGCCAGUCACAGACAUAUACUUUGCAGAUGCAUUAGGUGGUGCAGUGGAAGUCUAGUACUGAGACAGGGAGUAAGUGAGGUGGUUGCUGUUGGCAGCAGAGUGCCGUGGAGCCUGGGGCUGUGUUCCUCAGCCAGCUUCCACAACGUCUGAGCAGCUUCUGCAGAACGGAGAGGAGUUUUUAGGAGCGUGUGCCUGCUCUGUGGAUUCCCAGAGUGGAGCUGAGGGUCUGACCCAUGGCAUGGGAACCUUUCCAUUAAAAGGGGGGCUCUGCUCCAACUCGCAUGGCAAUGGAGUUGAGCUGUGCCCUGUGAGCUCCUUCAGGCUACCCUGAAAAUGGCAGCCUUUGGCUCUCCCUCUGCUCGUGUGGCUCUGCUGCAGAGCUGCUCACUCGUUGCCGAGUCAUUUGAAGGCUCGUGGGAGCUGCAGGAGGAAUUGAUUUUACAAGCUUGUCUGUUUGGGUUUUUGUGCAUGCUGUUCCAAAUGCAAACAGCUCCCUCUAACACUGGCUGCUCUUUCUUUGCCUGUGGAUGGCAGCUGUGUGCAGGCUGCCUGCAGAUACUGCCUGUUCCACUGGCAAACGUCUCCUAGCAAGGGGCAGCUCCCUUCCUCCCUGUCUAUGGGCACGUGGACUCCCCUCAACUUCCACGGGGCUCUUCUCUAUCUAGAAGAAACCAUUUGUGUGCAGUGUGUGCUCACACAGAGCCCGACUGACUCAUCAGCAUCUCAUGCUUCAUCUGAGUCCUUGAGUUUUGCAUUAAACGUGUGUUGUGUGCUGUGGAGUGUUUGUCACUGCUGGGAUGAAGGGAAAAACUGAUCUGGGUUUCCCACUGGCAGUGGUGGCUUUUCUGUUUGUUUUUUUGUUGGAAAACCACCGGAGCUGAAGCUCAACCAAGGCUGCACCCAAAUGCAGCAAGGCUUGGACCCCAGCUGCCCCUGCGAGCACGCUCCAGGAGCGAUGAUGGGUGGAGGGAUGCUACGUGCAGAGGAUGAUUUGUCAAGUCCUAGGGGCCCACGGUCUGCUUGUUGAAUUCAGCUUCCAAAAGAAGAGCACUUUAUCCCCCUGCUCACUCUCAGGGGAAUAAAGGUGCAGACAUUUGUCAGGCACGGGCACCGCUACUUCCACGCAUGGCUUUCCUGCCUGCUGAUCCAUUCAGGCCUGGAGUUGUCCAACCCUUGGGGUUUUUUUUGCUUUCUCUUCCAUUCUGUCUUUCACGUCAUCUUUCUGUUGGUUUUUUUGUUUGUUUGUUUGUUUUCCCCUCUGUUUCCUUUCUCACCUCACUCACCCCGGGGCCAAGCAGUUCACAGAUGGCAGGUACUGGAUUUACUCUCCCCGUCAGCGCAGACUCCGAACCACCUCGCUUUCCUCCAGGACUGUAAGUGACCACGCAAGCAUAUAGCAGAGCUGCAGCUUUGAAACACUGGGGUCAGCAGCUCCAUUGCCCAGGGAUGCCAUGGUUCUGUCCUCUGUGACCACUGGGAAUCAGCCCAGGAGAAACAGGGAGCGCAGGUCAGAGCUGCCUGAAUCAAUCUGUCACGGGAUCUCACAGAAGUGAAGACUCAGCCCUACUUUUCUGCAGGCUGAGGGCGCAGCUCCUAGCUUGGUAUCGCCCAGAAUUGGGCAAACCUGCAGAUCCAUAAAGGUGGAGGCACUUGAGCAUUUAUAGGUGAUGUGAGGCACGGCCCCCUUGGCCCAGGAAACCAAACUGGGUUCCAGAGAGUCUACCAAGAUGUUUUGAAAUUACUGUUAGACCUGUGGCCAGUCCUCCUUCCAGUGGCAGCUUCUAAAUCUGAAGGAGUUGAGAGUUACUGAUGGAUUAUGGCUGGUUUCUGCUCUCCAGCCCUUGUUGUUAUCACCCACGGGCUCCCUCCUCACCACGGGUCUUCGGUGAGCAGUGAGAGCUUCACCUCCAAAAGAUGCAGGGAGGCAGCUCAGCGCUGCACCCAGAGCUCUGGGUUUUGGUAUUCCCCUUGGCUGGGUUUUGGGAGGGCUGCUGUCUUCCUCAGAGGGUGAUGGCAGCACUGUCAGAGCCUUGGCACAAGCAUUUGUUCAGCAUGUUCUGAGCAGUGCCUGCCUUGGAGCCAGGCUGGGGAGCAGAGGAGGCAUCAGGCAGGGUGCAUGGGGCAGCAGGGGCAGGAGCAUGCUCCUGAGCUUGGCUGCUAGGAUGAGGAGAGGCAGCCCCAGCAGCAGCAGGGUUAAUGCUGAGCACUGGAUGCUCCUUGUUUUUUCAUCUCCCCGCUGGGUUUGCAGCUCCCUGCAUGUGUCUGGGCUCCCAAAAGGCUCUCAAAGAGGCUGGCUGGAGCAUGUAGUUCAGUUGGGUGAAAAACAGGAUGUGCAGCAGGCUUUGUGCUGUCCUGAGCAUUGCUGUGCCUCCAGCAGAGCCCUGCAAAAAGCUCCAGGCAAGGUUUUCUCUUCCUUCCCUCCUCCCAGCGGUCUCUGCUCACGCAGCUGCAAUUAUUGGUGGGGUUCAGCAUGCAGAGCCCAGUGCUUCAAAGCUCUUCAAAGCUCCUCCAGCUUCUUGUAGUACUUUGCACAUUGUAGAUGGUUCCCAGGCUGGGAGCCCCCCCAGGCUUCUUCCAAGCGUCCCAUUCCAUUUUUCUUCCUCUGUAAGCCUGGGCUGGGCCAAAGGGGGCAGUUUUCCUCCCUCAGGCACAGGGACACCUCUGGAACCAAUUGAGCCACUUUGCAGUAGAAGUUUUCCCCCUUAGGAACCCGUGGCCACUGAAUCUGUCUGGGCUUCUCUGCUGAGUUGGAGGCAGAAGUGUGAUUGUCCCACUGAUGCCCAGUGCUGUGAUAAGCAGCUCCCUUGAUGCACAUCCCCAUUCCCUUAUUUUUUUUCCAAGAUCCAGUUGUAUUUUGCCUUCUGUGUUGUACCCAUUCUCAUCACCACCACUGUCUCCAAGGCUGUCAGUGAAAACUGACUGGUUCCUUUCUGUGGCCACCAUCCACCACGAUCCAACCCAGCCACCUGCUGCCUCACUUGGCCUGCAGGGAAGGGGGGGGAAGGCAUGGCAAACCAGGUCAAGUUCCGCUGUAAAAAGCCCUCCGAGGUGCCAGCUUGUAGCACAGCAGGGGCUCAGGAAGCGGGGUUGGGAGCUGGGAGUGGGUAGCAGGAAUGAAGAGCUCCAUCACUGCCCCUUGGUAAGUCGCUUCCCACGUCUCCUGGUUUCUCCGGGUUGAUGCUGUGGCAGGGAGCUGAGAAUUCCCUGGCACCCGCAAAGCCCUCGCAUCUGUCCUGCGGUGGGGGAGGUUGUGCCCUCCUCCCUGGCGCAGGGUGCAGUGCCAGCUGCUGGUGGCAGGGAGCAGGUAGGUACCAGCAUGGAGCCCCAGCACUGAGCCCAGUCUCUCCUCCGGGCAGAGAGCUGUUCUUACUGUACUGUUUCCUACUCUUUUAUUUUCUCCUUUUAUUUUUUCCUCUUCUCUCCUUUGCUCCCUGCUCUGCUGCUGCUCUCCUUGCAUUCUCCCCGCCGUCUCUGGCCACUCUGGCAGCCGACAGACGAGAGGAGUUGGGUUUACUCCCCGCUCCACUAUAGCGCUCAGCUCCACUCUGUCUCCGAUGAGGAGAGCGAUACAUAAUCUCUAUGCAGACACAGAAGCCCCAGAGAGCAGCGAUUCCCUCUGCAGGUCCACGUGUUCCCUUUUCGUUGAUGCAGCCGUUCCAGCGGGAUGGGGAAGAGCUUUGCUGACACCAGUUGUGCUGCCCCGCGGGAUCCCGGGCAGCGCUUCAGAGCGGAGCAAAACUGUAACCGUCUGUUCUGCUUCUCCCAGACGUGGGCAGCAAAGAAACCACCCACCCACCCACAGCUCCCAAGGAGGCAUCCAGCUGGGGGUAGAGAACCCUGGGUAGUAACACCGUGUUUUCCAGACGUGCACUACCGUAGCUACCUAUCCAUGUGUAAUACUGUGAACCUUUUUAAUUUUUUAAUCAUAUAUUUAUUUCUUUUAUCUUUGCACACAGACAGCACAAAUGUGCUUUUUUAAACAUUUAGUUUACUGCACUUUUUUUUUUUUCUUCUUUUUUUUUUUGGGCUCUGUUUGUUGGUUUGGUUGGUUUGGGGUUUUUUUUGGUUUUUUUUUGGUUGUCUUCUAUCUGUGCAUCAGAAAGGAGCGUGAGACCUCACUGGAGGAUUGGUAGGAGCACAGUGCUGGGGAGGGCAGGGAGCGGAGUGGCUUCGCUGGAGGAAGCAGCAGCGUGGCCUGGCCUGCUGAUGGAGUCAGGAGGUUUAAGGCCAGGCAGACUGCUGCAGUUUUGCUGAGUGACCGAAGGCGAGUCACCCAACCACUCUGUGCCUCGGUUCCCCCGUGCUGUGGGUGUGCAGUUCCCGCUUCGUUCGAGCACUUACACCCUGGGAUGAAAGGUGCUAUGUACAUGCGACGUAUUAAAGGCCACUGAGUAGAAUUGCUCCUAUGUUACAGUAGUAGCCAUGCCAAUUCACUUGGAUCCAAACAUUGCGAGUGACUCCUCUUGAUCCCUAACACCGAGUGGGGGAAGCAAGCGAUUCCUGGCAGUGCCGACGCGCUCACCUCGGCUCUCCGGACCUCACAGUGGCUUCUGCCUUCACCUGUUGCUGUCACCUGCUGCUGUCACCAUUUCUCCAUGCUCAGAGCCCACAUCUUGUCGUAGUGGCCGCUGGCAGACAUGGACAGAUGAGGACUGGGCUCCUCCAGGGGCUGCUUCAUGGAGGGACAUUCUCUGCUCUGCCCGGACCCCGCAUCCCACUGGAGCUGCUUGGGACCUCACGGGUGUAUCUGACUGAAGUUCCAUAUCUGGCUGAGUUUUGGGGGUUACCAAACGUUGGGUUCACGCACCUCCUCCAUACCUCAGGGCAGCUGUGGAGGUGUGCACGUGGAUGGGUGCUGGAGGCAGGAAUGUGGGCAGCACUGUGUGCACAGACUGUGGGACAAGAGGCUGGGUGACUCGGCUGCUGUUGGGAAUGGCUGCUUGGGGUGUCUGAGACACGGACAGUUUGCUCUUCGUGGGCUGCAGGCUUUGGCCACGAGUUGGUGUCACUUGGCAGCGCUCGGGUUAGGCUCGUCCUUCUGCCGGCUGAGCACCUCGUGAACUCCAGCAAUUUCAUCCUCCUCUCAGAGAAGUGAAACCCUUUAGCCAAGAGGGAGCCAAGUCUGUGUGCUUUGCAAGUUUCCCUUGAGAGAGGGUCAAAAUCUCUUUGUUCUCAUUGCAACCUUCAGCUGUCAGUAGGAUUUGUCGUACAGGAGAGCGGGGGGGAGUCCCUCCUCCUGGGGCUCAGUCCCCUUCCAUCUGUCCCCACAGCAGCACUUAGGACUGGUUCACUGAGCUCCCAGAAGGUAAGGGGCUGGUGGGAAACUGCGGAUCAAUGACCUGGGAAAGGAUCUGUGUGAAUUAUGGGCCCCCCCCAAGUGUGGGACCCAAACUUCCACCCUGGGGAUGCUGAAUGCUGUUCAGUGUGCUGCUCUCCGAGUGCAGGCUGGGGGUCCUGCAGGCUGCUGCCCUUAGGUGUAUCCACGUAGUUACCAAUCUGUCAGAAGUCCUUUCAAGGCUCUCCCCUUUCCAUCGCUAUGUGGCAUCCUUCUGUGACAGGCUGGGGAACAAACAGCUCCUGAGCCCCCUGUCUCCUUGUGCCAGCGCCGGGGGCUCAGGGGCAGAGGGCAGCAGUGCAAUAUCCACAGACUGACGUGCCUCUGAGCUGAGAGCGGGAGGCUUCAGAACGCCCCAAACGCAGCUUGGCCAAGCCCCCCCUGCCCUGGCAUCUUGGGGUGGGCCGGGCAGGGCUUUCCAAGCUGCCGCUUACAGGUGCUGUGAGCAUCGCCGUGCUGAGGUGGAGGCUCUGCUCCUUCCCUGAGCAGCCCGCUGAGCGGGCCUUGCGGGCUGGAGUCAGCGUGAGCCCAGGUGUGGGGAAGCCCAGAGGAUCUCGGCACGUUCGUUCCAAGCGCUGUCCUCCGUCAGGGGCUCUGUGGGACAAUCCUGGUGCGCGAUCCCCUCGGGCUGGGGGUGAGCUGUGCCAACGUGGGGGGCAGGAGGAGCCUUCCUGGGGGAUCUGCCCAUCGCUCACAGCCCCGGCAGUGCUGGGGGGCGGCGUGUGACCACGGGAUGGGACGGGAUGCAGCCAGGGCUGUUCUCACAGCUCUUCUUUUUGGGGGGUGAAGACCUCAUGGGUGGUUUGGUUUGGUUUUGUUUUCAUUUCCUCCUUUGUUGUUUGGGUUUUUUUGUUGUUGUUCCCCCGUGGAGGGGGGGGGGAACCGUUUGGGUUCUUUUUGUUUUGUUUUGUUCUGUUUUCCGGAGAACUGUGCGUCGGUGCGAUGUGUCCUCGGCUCUGUGAUAAAGCAUUCUCUAUGUGCUGUA